AGCUAACGCAUUAAGCGCCCCGCCUGGGGAGUACGGCCGCAAGGCUAAAACUCAAAGAAAUUGACGGGGGCCCGCACAAGCGGCGGAGCAUGUGGAUUAAUUCGACGCAACGCGAAGAACCUUACCAAGGCUUGACAUACACCGGAAAACCCUGGAGACAGGGUCCCCCUUGUGGUCGGUGUACAGGUGGUGCAUGGCUGUCGUCAGCUCGUGUCGUGAGAUGUUGGGUUAAGUCCCGCAACGAGCGCAACCCUUGUCCCGUGUUGCCAGCAAGCCCUUCGGGGUGUUGGGGACUCACGGGAGACCGCCGGGGUCAACUCGGAGGAAGGUGGGGACGACGUCAAGUCAUCAUGCCCCUUAUGUCUUGGGCUGCACACGUGCUACAAUGGCCGGUACAAUGAGCUGCGAUACCGCGAGGUGGAGCGAAUCUCAAAAAGCCGGUCUCAGUUCGGAUUGGGGUCUGCAACUCGACCCCAUGAAGUCGGAGUCGCUAGUAAUCGCAGAUCAGCAUUGCUGCGGUGAAUACGUUCCCGGGCCUUGUACACACCGCC
RNAcentral lists this ribosomal RNA (551 nucleotides) under uncultured Streptomyces sp. RNAcentral describes it as "bacterial SSU rRNA". It matches the Rfam family "Bacterial small subunit ribosomal RNA", at positions 850 to 1394 of the family's 1533-position model. Lineage: Bacteria; Bacillati; Actinomycetota; Actinomycetes; Kitasatosporales; Streptomycetaceae. The record is from RNAcentral.